GUUAAAACGCUCGUAGUCGGAUUUCGUGGUCGGGCGACAGGUCUCCUUCACAGGUGCACUUGUCGGCUUGCCAUUCUUACCGGAACGGCUGCACUUUUUUAACUAAACGUGCAGUUGGAACGGUUUAUUUACUUUGAAAAAAUCAGAGUGUUUCAAGCAGGCAGCUCGCUCUUGCAUGGAUUAGCAUGGGAUAAUGAAAUAGGACUUUGGUGCUAUUUUGUUGGUUUCGAACAUCGAAGUAAUGAUUAAAAGGGACAGUCAGGGGCACUCGUAUUCCGCCGAGAGAGGUGAAAUUCUCAGACCAGCGGAAGACGAACCACUGCGAAAGCAUUUGCCAGGGAUGUUUUCACUGAUCAAGAACGAAAGUUAGGGGAUCGAAGACGAUCAGAUACCGUCGUAGUCUUAACCAUAAACAAUACCGACUAGGGAUUGGAGGAUGUUCACUAUCGACUCCUUCAGCACCUUACGGGAAACUAAAGUCUUUGGGUUCCGGGGGGAGUAUGGUCGCAAGGCUGAAACUUAAAGGAAUUGACGGAAGGGCACCACCAGGAGUGGAGCCUGCGGCUUAAUUUGACUCAACACGGGGAAACUUACCAGGUCCAGACAUUGUGAGGAUUGACAGAUUGAGAGCUCUUUCUUGAUUCGAUGGGUGGUGGUGCAUGGCCGUUCUUAGUUGGUGGAGUGAUUUGUCUGGUUAAUUCCGUUAACGA
RNAcentral lists this ribosomal RNA (710 nucleotides) under uncultured marine eukaryote. Its description in RNAcentral is "SSU rRNA". It matches the Rfam family "Eukaryotic small subunit ribosomal RNA", at positions 618 to 1334 of the family's 1831-position model. The record is from RNAcentral.